GCAUACGGCUCAGUAACACGUAGUCAACAUGCCCAGGGGACGUGGAUAACCUCGGGAAACUGAGGAUAAACCGCGAUAGGUCAUUACUUCUGGAAUGGGUAAUGACUUAAAUCUAUAUGGCCCCUGGAUUGGACUGCGGCCGAUCAGGCUGUUGGUGAGGUAAUGGCCCACCAAACCUGUAACCGGUACGGGCUCUGAGAGGAGGAGCCCGGAGAUGGGCACUGAGACAAGGGCCCAGGCCCUAUGGGGCGCAGCAGGCGCGAAACCUCUGCAAUAGGCGAAAGCUUGACAGGGUUACUCUGAGUGAUUUCCGUUAAGGAGAUCUUUUGGCACCUCUAAAAAUGGUGCAGAAUAAGGGGUGGGCAAGUCUGGUGUCAGCCGCCGCGGUAAUACCAGCACCCCGAGUGGUCGGGACGUUUAUUGGGCCUAAAGCAUCCGUAGCCGGUUCUACAAGUCUUCCGUUAAAUCCACCUGCUUAACAGAUGGGCUGCGGAAGAUACUAUAGAGCUAGGAGGCGGGAGAGGCAAGCGGUACUCGAUGGGUAGGGGUAAAAUCCGUUGAUCCAUUGAAGACCACCAGUGGCGAAGGCGGCUUGCCAGAACGCGCUCGACGGUGAGGGAUGAAAGCUGGGGGAGCAAACCGGAUUAGAUACCCGGGUAGUCCCAGCUGUAAACGAUGCAGACUCGGUGAUGAAUUGGCUUAUUGCUAAUUCAGUGCCGCAGGGAAGCCGUUAAGUUUGCCGCCUGGGGAGUACGGUCGCAAGACUGAAACUUAAAGGAAUUGGCGGGGGAGCACCACAAGGGGUGAAGCCUGCGGUUCAAUUGGAGUCAACGCCGGAAAUCUUACCGGGGGCGACAGCAGAGUGAAGGUCAAGCUGAAGACUUUACCAGACAAGCUGAGA
RNAcentral lists this ribosomal RNA (901 nucleotides) under uncultured archaeon. RNAcentral's name for it is "bacterial SSU rRNA". It matches the Rfam family "Archaeal small subunit ribosomal RNA", at positions 81 to 985 of the family's 1478-position model. The record is from RNAcentral.